GCUGGGUGCAGUGGCACACGCCUGUAAUCCCAAGCAGUUUGGGAGGCUGAAGCAGGAGGAUCACAAGUUCAAAGCCCGCCUCAGCAACUUCACAAAGUCCUAAGCAACUCAGUGAGACCCUGUUUCUA
This 128-nucleotide small RNA is filed under the name Marmota monax (woodchuck). The record is from RNAcentral. Lineage: Eukaryota; Metazoa; Chordata; Mammalia; Rodentia; Sciuridae.